ACUCUCAGGAUUGGCAUCUGGGGCCUUGAGGUCACAGAGCGAAUAAUGAUCCUGGUCUUCCUGCACCUGCUCGUGGGGAGAGCCCUGCCAGAGCCCGAGGUGAGGAUCGAAUGGGAAGACAUACACAUCUCAGCCUCCCUAUCUACAUACCCUAUCCAGUGGUCCUCCCAUAUCUCCCCAAGCAAUGGAUCAGUGAAACCCAAGAAGCUUCCCAGUUGCCAUGGAAAUGGCACGGAUGCAUCUAAUAGGAAGUAAGAAUGGAAGGAGUGGAUUCUACAGCUGCCUUAGGCACCCCUGAGUAAGUUUUCCAGUUACCCUUUGCAUGCAGAGUCCAAAAUUUCUCUGGUAAUAGGAAGAGCCCUGAGGUUCUCAGUGUGCUCCAACUGGCAGUGGAUUACCACAUUUUCACCCCAGCUCUGGCCCAGGUCCACUACGCAGGGCUAGUCAGCCCUCUUCCAGCCUGAUACCUUUCGGGGGAUAGCCAUUCCAAAAUACGGGAACAAGAAGAGGGGUUCCCCAAUAGUUAUACAAAACCACUUGCUGUCUGAAGCAAACUCAUAAUGGAGCACCCAUGGAUGGGGCAUGGAGGGAGAGCCCGCAAGGGUGCCUGACCCACUCAUCUUUCAUUGGUCUCAAAAGCAGCUGUGUUGGGGACCAGCACCAGGUAAGUCAAAAUCAUCCCACCCAUGGCGGGAUGCUCUUACUUGCCAGGCAGACUUGUCUCCUUUCUACCUGGACCUGUCAAUGUUAGAGGCUCUGAGGACUAGUUUACAAGGGGGUACAGGGAAGUCUAGGAGGAAGACUGGGAAUCACAGAGAGAGAAGACAUGUCGAAAAGGAUAACCCUCAAGUGGGAGUGAAGACGGGAAGGAGUGGGGGAAGGUCAAGGGAAUGGGUAUCAACAGGCCAGGUGCUGCCCUGGGUGCCUCGUUCUCUGUGUCCUAGAGCUGCUUGCUUCCUUUUUGGGACCUUGUUCCUAUCCUCUGUAGCGAUCUCUUCCAUAUCUGAAAUUUAGUGUUUUUAGGGACAGAGUGACAAGGCACAGGGAGCUGAAGAACUGUCCAGAAGGCAUCAGAAAUGCCCACAGAGAAGCAGGGGCUAAGGCUCUGGAAGACAUUAUUGCAGGGACACAUCUCCCCACAUCUUCCUGAAGACUAGAGCCUCCUCUAGCUGUGUGUUAACCCCCAACCCCCUUGUCAUAUAUUUAAACCAUUUGCCUGACCAUCCAACUCUUAAUCAGGUGUGUAAUUGGGGAGCUGGGGGUAAUGCGUAAAUGAGCAUGGAGUCCCCGGUCUUCCAUUUUUGUUAUGGCUUCCAACAGCUGAGUACCCACACUCUAUCCUUUUGUUCUACAAUCUUGUCCUUUCCCACCUCAUUUUCCACUCCACAGGCUGGAGGGUCAAACACUCAGGGUCUUUGUUAAAGCCCCAACUGGAAAAGAGUCACUGUCCCUACUUCUCAGCACAAUAUAGGCUCGAGUAAGGAGCAAACACAUUCAGAUGUACAAACAAUCCCUGUGGACGAUCCAACUUUGAAUUUAGCUUGAGCUUAGGGUUCAGUUCUAUCCCUUCAUCUGGUUCUGUUCUAACUUGAAGAAGCAGAGGCUGCUGGCAUCUAAACGUGGUAAGAGACCUUCCGUUCACUUUGCGACCCCAGACCCCAGCUGGAAGAUCCAACACCAAGACUGGGUUUCUAGGCUCUUACCGACCCCUUCGAGGUAAUCCUGGGCUAAGAAGGUGCCCCCUUUGCCUACAACUCUUUCCCUCAUGUCUGAGCCUCACAACUGACCAGAACACCCCUCCUUUCUUCUGUCUAUUCCCCAGGGUGCAGUUGAAAAGGUUUAUUUGCAUCCCAAUCCAUUUAUGAUUUACCCAAAGCCUUUGGCCCAGAGCAGACCAACACGGGUAUCCUCACUUUACAGAGAUGACCAAGGUGGAGAGAGGGGAGGCGACUUUCUUGGGAUCACACAAUCAAUAUGUCAUGACUAUAGGCAUUUGAAAUGCAAGUUUGACCCCCAAACCUAUGAUGUCAAGCACUCUGUUCCAGGCUUUGGGGGUCCUGACUGGUGGGUAGGAACAGGCAGGCAGAGGGGGGCGGGCAGCGGAGGUAGGCGUGGGUCAGGAAUAAAAAUAUACCAGAGAAAGGAAUGUUGCUUACUUUAUCCUGCAAUGUUUCCUUGGGUCUUCUUUCCAUUCUUGGCUGAGAGCAUGCAUUAUUUAUCCCUCACACACAGAAUUUUUGCAGUUGUAAUAAAGGUCAGAAGAGGAGAAGAGAGUUAUCUAAAUCCACAGCUAUAUUCAGGUGCACUUAGAAUGACAUAUCGAGUCUAAUGGAAUCCAUUUGGGAGCAAAAUAAAGAUGUGAGCUUAGGUGUUUUUUCUUUCCUUCUUCCUUUAUUCUUUUAUUCCUUCCUUGUUUGCCUAUAAGAAAAAAAUAAUUAUAAUCAGGUUUGUGCCCCUCCUGGACCCAUCCUCCUUCUUCCCUCCGCUGACCC
RNAcentral lists this long non-coding RNA (2492 nucleotides) under Lynx pardinus (Iberian lynx). The record is from RNAcentral. Lineage: Eukaryota; Metazoa; Chordata; Mammalia; Carnivora; Felidae.